CAACAGGGAUUGCCUUAGUAACGGCGAGUGAAGCGGCAAAAGCUCAAAUUUGAAAUCUGGCACCUUCGGUGUCCGAGUUGUAAUUUGAAGAAGGUAACUUUGGAGUUGGCUCUUGUCUAUGUUCCUUGGAACAGGACGUCACAGAGGGUGAGAAUCCCGUGCGAUGAGAUGCCCAAUUCUAUGUAAAGUGCUUUCGAAGAGUCGAGUUGUUUGGGAAUGCAGCUCUAAGUGGGUGGUAAAUUCCAUCUAAAGCUAAAUAUUGGCGAGAGACCGAUAGCGAACAAGUACAGUGAUGGAAAGAUGAAAAGAACUUUGAAAAGAGAGUGAAAAAGUACGUGAAAUUGUUGAAAGGGAAGGGCUUGAGAUCAGACUUGGUAUUUUGCGAUCCUUUCCUUCUUGGUUGGGUUCCUCGCAGCUUACUGGGCCAGCAUCGG
RNAcentral lists this ribosomal RNA (434 nucleotides) under Debaryomyces hansenii. RNAcentral describes it as "LSU rRNA". It matches the Rfam family "Eukaryotic large subunit ribosomal RNA", at positions 66 to 505 of the family's 3401-position model. Lineage: Eukaryota; Fungi; Ascomycota; Pichiomycetes; Serinales; Debaryomycetaceae. The record is from RNAcentral.